This 376-nucleotide unclassified non-coding RNA is filed under the name uncultured bacterium. RNAcentral's name for it is "contains 16S-23S intergenic spacer region". The record is from RNAcentral.
UCCGGUUUGUCACCGGCAGUCUCACUAGAGUGCCCAACUUAAUGUGGCAACUAAUGACAAGGGUUGCGCUCGUUGCGGGACUUAACCCAACAUUUCACAACACGAGCUGACGACAGCCAUGCAGCACCUGUCUCCACGUGUAUUGCUACAAAGCCGUAUUUCUACGGUUGUCGUGGGAUGUCAAGCCUAGGUAAGGUUCUGCGCGUUGCUUCGAAUUAAACCACAUAAUCCACCGCUUGUGCGGGCCCCCGUCAAUUCCUUUGAGUUUCAACCUUGCGGUCGUACUCCCCAGGCGGGGUACUUCCUGCGUUAGCGCCGGCACCCAGAGGGUCGCUCCCCCAGGCACCUAGUACCCAUCGUUUACGGCGUGGACUAC